GACGAACGCUGGCGGCGUGCUUAACACAUGCAAGUCGAACGGAAAGGCCCUGCUUUUGUGGGGUGCUCGAGUGGCGAACGGGUGAGUAACACGUGAGUAACCUGCCCUUGACUUUGGGAUAACUUCAGGAAACUGGGGCUAAUACCGGAUAGGAGCUCCUGCUGCAUGGUGGGGGUUGGAAAGUUUCGGCGGUUGGGGAUAGACUCGCGGCUUAUCAGCUUGUUGGGGGGGUAGUGGCUUACCAAGGCUUUGACGGGUAGCCGGCCUGAGAGGGUGACCGGCCACAUGGGGCCUGAGGUAGGGACCAGACUCCUACGGGACGCAGCAGUGGGGAACAUUGCACAAUGGGGGGAAGCCUGAUGCAGAAGCGUCGCGUGCGGGAUGACGGCCUACGGGUUGUAAACCGCUUUCGCAGGAGACGAAGCGGGCGUGACGGUAAUGGGUAAGAAAGCACCGGCUAACUACGUG
This 468-nucleotide ribosomal RNA is filed under the name uncultured bacterium. RNAcentral's name for it is "partial 16S ribosomal RNA". It matches the Rfam family "Bacterial small subunit ribosomal RNA", at positions 28 to 507 of the family's 1533-position model. The record is from RNAcentral.